This 18-nucleotide small nuclear RNA is filed under the name Arabidopsis thaliana (thale cress). RNAcentral describes it as "snRNA_03851". The record is from RNAcentral. Lineage: Eukaryota; Viridiplantae; Streptophyta; Magnoliopsida; Brassicales; Brassicaceae.
UUGGCUAAGUCCGUUCGG